Molecule: transfer RNA, 72 nt
Filed under: Camelus bactrianus (Bactrian camel)
Lineage: Eukaryota; Metazoa; Chordata; Mammalia; Artiodactyla; Camelidae
Also listed under: 2 other names
Rfam family: tRNA
About the family: Transfer RNA (tRNA) molecules are approximately 80 nucleotides in length.
Source: Rfam by way of RNAcentral
GGGUAUAUAGGUCAGUGGUAGAUCACGUGCUCAGCAUGCACAAGGUCCUGGGUUCAACCCCCAGUACCUCCA